This 398-nucleotide ribosomal RNA is filed under the name uncultured bacterium. RNAcentral describes it as "partial 16S ribosomal RNA". It matches the Rfam family "Bacterial small subunit ribosomal RNA", at positions 523 to 918 of the family's 1533-position model. The record is from RNAcentral.
AUACGUAGGGUGCGAGCGUUGUCCGGAAUUACUGGGCGUAAAGAGCUCGUAGGUGGUUUGUCGCGUCGUCUGUGAAAUUCCGGGGCUUAACUCCGGGCGUGCAGGCGAUACGGGCAUAACUUGAUUACUGUAGGGGAGACUGGAAUUCCUGGUGUAGCGGUGAAAUGCUCAGAUAUCAGGAGGAACACCGGUGGCGAGGGCGGGUCUCUGGGCAGUAACUGACGCUGAGGAGCGAAAGCAUGGGUAGCGAACAGGAUUAGAUACCCUGGUAGUCCAUGCCGUAAACGGUGGGCGCUAGGUGUAGGGGUCUUCCACGACUUCUGUGCCGUAGCUAACGCAUUAAGCGCCCCGCCUGGGGAGUACGGCCGCAAGGCUAAAACUCAAAGGAAUUGACGGGG